UCCUACCAUGCAGUCGACGAACCCUUCGGGGUGAGUGGCGCACGGGUGCGUAACGCGUGGGAACCUGCCUUUAGGUUCGGAAUAACUCAGAGAAAUUUGAGCUAAUACCGGAUAAUGUCUUCGGACCAAAGAUUUAUCGCCUUUAGAUGGGCCCGCGUUAGAUUAGAUAGUUGGUGGGGUAAUGGCCUACCAAGUCGACGAUCUAUAGCUGGUCUGAGAGGAUGAUCAGCCACACUGGGACUGAGACACGGCCCAGACUCCUACGGGAGGCAGCAGUGGGGAAUAUUGGACAAUGGGGGAAACCCUGAUCCAGCAAUGCCGCGUGAGUGAUGAAGGCCUUAGGGUUGUAAAGCUCUUUUACCAGGGAUGAUAAUGACAGUACCUGGAGAAUAAGCUCCGGCUAACUCCGUGCCAGCCGCCGGGGGUAAUACA
RNAcentral lists this ribosomal RNA (432 nucleotides) under Erythrobacter sp. enrichment culture clone PSHTC-033. Its description in RNAcentral is "bacterial SSU rRNA". It matches the Rfam family "Bacterial small subunit ribosomal RNA", at positions 49 to 527 of the family's 1533-position model. Lineage: Bacteria; Pseudomonadati; Pseudomonadota; Alphaproteobacteria; Sphingomonadales; Erythrobacteraceae. The record is from RNAcentral.